Non-coding RNA from Cyanistes caeruleus (blue tit), 209 nucleotides. NCBI's taxonomy places the organism in Eukaryota, Metazoa, Chordata, Aves, Passeriformes, Paridae. The record is from RefSeq and is a predicted model, not a curated record.
GAAUUUGGGGUUUUUGGGGGUCCCUUUCUCCUCAUCCCCAAUUUCCCCCCCCAGGUGCCCGCGGGACCUUCGGGGCCGGGACCUCCGAGGAGGAGGCUGAGCAGGUGCUGAGCGCCGCCUACGAAUUGGGGGUGACGCUUUUCGACGCGGCCGAAGCCUCGGCCAGGGUGGAGAAGAUGCUCGGGAGGAUCCUGAGGAGCAAAGGAUGG